UAAAAUUUUAGAGGCAGCGAUGCAAAUUAGUACUUUGUUGAGACGGUAGUCUAUGAAGCAAACGAAAGGUAAUCAUCGCCGAAUGUAAAAUGUAGACAUACAUUUUAUAUGGGAUUAUAGGAAAAACCUAUAAUACUCCUACAAAAAGUAGAGGCGCUAAUCCAAUC
RNAcentral lists this non-coding RNA (167 nucleotides) under Candidatus Izimoplasma sp. HR1. RNAcentral's name for it is "Candidatus Izimaplasma sp. HR1 Lysine riboswitch aptamer". It matches the Rfam family "Lysine riboswitch aptamer". Rfam says of the family: Riboswitches are metabolite binding domains within certain messenger RNAs that serve as precision sensors for their corresponding targets. Lineage: Bacteria; Bacillati; Mycoplasmatota; Mollicutes; Candidatus Izemoplasmatales; Candidatus Izemoplasmataceae. The record is from Rfam by way of RNAcentral.